UGGGGAAUAUUGCACAAUGGAGGAAACUCUGAUGCAGCGACGCCGCGUGAGUGAUGAAGGUCUUCGGAUCGUAAAACUCUGUCCUUUGGGAAGAUAAUGACAGUACCAUUGGAGGAAGCCCCGGCUAACUACGUGCCAGCAGCCGCGGUAAUACGUAGGGGGCGAGCGUUGUCCGGAAUUAUUGGGCGUAAAGGGUACGUAGGCGGUUUAGAAAGUCAGAUGUUAAAGCGUGAGGCUCAACCUCAUAAAGCAUUUGAAACUUCUAGACUUGAGUAGUGGAGAGGAAAGUGGAAUUCCUAGUGUAGCGGUGAAAUGCGUAGAUAUUAGGAAGAAUACCAGUGGCGAAGGCGACUUUCUGGACACAAACUGACGCUGAGGUACGAAAGCGUGGGGAGCAAACAGG
RNAcentral lists this ribosomal RNA (403 nucleotides) under uncultured bacterium. RNAcentral describes it as "bacterial SSU rRNA". It matches the Rfam family "Bacterial small subunit ribosomal RNA", at positions 355 to 776 of the family's 1533-position model. The record is from RNAcentral.